Molecule: ribosomal RNA, 451 nt
Filed under: uncultured bacterium
Lineage: Bacteria
Description: bacterial SSU rRNA
Rfam family: Bacterial small subunit ribosomal RNA
Source: RNAcentral
GUGAGGAAUAUUGCGCAAUGGGCGAAAGCCUGACGCAGCGACGCCGCGUGGAGGAUGAAGGUCUUCGGAUUGUAAACUCCUUUCGAGUGGGACGAAUUCCGGAGGUGUUAACAGCGCCUUCGGUUGACGGUACCGCUAUAAGAAGCCCCGGCUAACUCCGUGCCAGCAGCCGCGGUAAUACGGAGGGGGCCAGCGUUGUUCGGAAUCAUUGGGCGUAAAGGGCGCGUAGGCGGCCAAUCAAGUCGGACGUGAAAACCCUCGGCUCAACCGGGGAACUGCGUCCGAUACUGUUCGGCUUGAGUCCUGGAGAGGGUAGUGGAAUUCCCAGUGUAGCGGUGAAAUGCGUAGAUACUGGGAGGAACACCGGUGGCGAAGGCGGCUACCUGGACAGGUACUGACGCUGAGGCGCGAAAGCUAGGGGAGCAAACAGGAUUAGAUACCCGAGUAGUCC